AAAAACAUGGCUUUUUGAAUAUAAUUUAAAGUUUAACCUGCCCAAUGAUUGAUAAAUUAAAUGGCCGCGGUAUAUUGACCGUGCAAAGGUAGCAUAAUCAUUAGUUUUUUAAUUGAAAGCUGGAAUGAAAGGUUUGAUGAGAAAAUAACUGUCUCUAUUUAAAUUUUAGAAUUUUAUUUUUAAGUUAAAAAGCUUAAAUAUUUUUCGAAGACGAGAAGACCCUAUAGAGUUUGAUAAUCUUUAUUAUUGAUAAGUUUAGAAUUUUUAAAUUUAAUAAUUAAAAUUAUUUAGUUGGGGUGAUUAAAAAAUUGAUAAAACUUUUUUUGUAUAAAACCAUUAAUUAAUGAUUAUUUGAUCCUAUGAAUAGAUUAAAAGAAUAAAUUACCUUAGGGAUAACAGCGUAAUUUUUUUUUAGAGUUCAAAUUAAAAGAAAAGAUUGCGACCUCGAUGUUGGAUUAAAAUUAAUUAUUGGUGUAGAAGCUAAAUAAAUUGGGUCUGUUCGACCCUUAAAAUUUUACUUGAUCUGAGUUCAAACCGGUGUGAGCCAGGUUGGUUUUUAUCUYGAAAUAGUUAAUAUAUUUUAGUACGAAAGGACCAAAUAUUUAAUAAAAAAUUUUUAUUUUAGAAUAAAAUUAUUAUUUUGGCAGAAUAGUGCGAUAGAUUUAGAAUCUUUAAAUGUAAAUUUUUACAAAUAAUAUUGUUAUUUAAUGAUUUAAUUAUAAUAUUAAUUUCAAGAGUAAUUUUAGUUUUUAGAGUAAUAUUAGGUGUAGCUUUUUUAACUUUAUUAGAACGUAAGGUAUUAAGG
This 805-nucleotide ribosomal RNA is filed under the name Diplapion stolidum. Its description in RNAcentral is "partial 16S ribosomal RNA". The stretch from base 1 to 587 matches the Rfam family "Bacterial large subunit ribosomal RNA", at positions 1809 to 2925 of the family's 2925-position model. Lineage: Eukaryota; Metazoa; Arthropoda; Insecta; Coleoptera; Brentidae. The record is from RNAcentral.